UACGUAGGGCGCAAGCGUUGUCCGGAAUUAUUGGGCGUAAAGAGCUCGUAGGCGGUUUGUCGCGUCUGCUGUGAAAACCCGAGGCUCAACCUCGGGCCUGCAGUGGGUACGGGCAGACUAGAGUGUGGUAGGGGAGACUGGAAUUCCUGGUGUAGCGGUGGAAUGCGCAGAUAUCAGGAGGAACACCAAUGGCGAAGGCGAGUCUCUGGACAGCAACGUGAC
Molecule: ribosomal RNA, 222 nt
Filed under: uncultured bacterium
Lineage: Bacteria
Description: partial 16S ribosomal RNA
Rfam family: Bacterial small subunit ribosomal RNA
Source: RNAcentral